GCCGCGUGAGUGAUGAAGGCUUUCGGGUCGUAAAACUCUGUUGUUAGGGAAGAACAAGUGCUAGUUGAAUAAGCUGGCACCUUGACGGUACCUAACCAGAAAGCCACGGCUAACUACGUGCCAGCAGCCGCGGUAAUACGUAGGUGGCAAGCGUUAUCCGGAAUUAUUGGGCGUAAAGCGCGCGCAGGUGGUUUCUUAAGUCUGAUGUGAAAGCCCACGGCUCAACCGUGGAGGGUCAUUGGAAACUGGGAGACUUGAGUGCAGAAGAGGAAAGUGGAAUUCCAUGUGUAGCGGUGAAAUGCGUAGAGAUAUGGAGGAACACCAGUGGCGAAGGCGACUUUCUGGUCUGUAACUGACACUGAGGCGCGAAAGCGUGGGGAGCAAACAGGAUUAGAUACCCCGGUAGU
This 407-nucleotide ribosomal RNA is filed under the name bacterium. RNAcentral's name for it is "bacterial SSU rRNA". It matches the Rfam family "Bacterial small subunit ribosomal RNA", at positions 396 to 794 of the family's 1533-position model. The record is from RNAcentral.